Molecule: ribosomal RNA, 2172 nt
Filed under: Triticum aestivum (bread wheat)
Lineage: Eukaryota; Viridiplantae; Streptophyta; Magnoliopsida; Poales; Poaceae
Description: partial small subunit ribosomal RNA
Source: RNAcentral
AUGUCAAGCAUGUGCGGCAACGUCAGCGUACCCUACCCCUUCGGCAUCGGCGUUGGCUGCUUCCGCGACGACGGCCAGCCGGGCUUCCAGCUCGAGUGCAAUGACUCCGGCCCCGGCCGGCCUCCGCGCCUCACCAUAGUCGGCUACGACUACCACCUCGCCGCGCUGUCCCUCGAAGGCGAAGCCCGGACCUACCUCAGGGCCACGCGCCACUGCUACAACUCCACGGGGGAACUCAUCGAUAGGGUUACGGAGUACAUGACCCUCUUAGGCACCCCCUACCUCUUCUCGUCGGCCAAGAACCGGCUCGUCACGCUCGGCUGCCCCAGCCUCGGCUACUUCAACGACGGCAGAGGCUUCUACAUCAGCGGCUGCACGUCCGUGUGCCGGCCGUCCCAGUACGCCCUGCCGGGCUCGUGCACCGGCGUCGGCUGCUGCCAGAGCGCGAUACCCAACGGCGCCGACUUCUGGGAGUCGACCCUUUUUAACUUCUCGCCGGGGCAGCAGGACACAGUCGUCUUCAACACCAACCCCACCUCGUGCCGCUAUGUGUUCCUCGUCGAGACCAAGUGGUUCGACGGUCAAGCCUCCCACAGUUUCGUCAACCGCACCGACGACUUCACCGUGCCGCUCAUGCUCGACUGGGCCGUCAGGAACGUCGGCAACUGCAGCGCCGCCAGGCGCAACGCCACCGACUUCGCUUGCAAGAGCGCGGGCAGCCGGUGCUUGGACGCCACCAAUGGCCCUGGGUACCGGUGCAGCUGCCCGAGUGGGCACGAAGGAAAUCCCUACCUCGACCACAUCGACGAGUGCCGUCGGAAAGACGAAUACCUGUGCUACGGUGAGUGCAGAAACACGCCGGGAAACUAUACUUGCGAAUGCCCUCCAGGUACGAGUGGAGAUGCCUACAGGGAGAGCGGCUGCCGGGCAAAUGACAAGUUCACCUUGGCUCUCAAAAUCGUUACAGGAGUUAGCGUCGGGGUGUUCUUGUCAUUAUUCACAUGCUUCUGGGUCUACCUAGGACAUCAGAAGCGGAAGCUCAUCAAGGCAAAGCAGAGCUUCUUCGAGCACAACGGAGGCGUCAUCCUGCAGCAGCAGAUGCGUUCCUACAGUAGCGCUGCUGGGGGAGGGAGUGGUGGGUUCAAGAUAUACUCAGAAGAGGAGCUCAAGAAGGCGACCAACAAUUUCGCCGCUGAUCAGAUCCUCGGUCGCGGCGGCCACGGCAUUGUGUAUAGAGGUGUUCUGGAGGACAGUACCAUAGUGGCUAUAAAGAAGUCCAAGAUGAUGGAGGAAACUGAGACCAAGGAGUUCGCAAGGGAGAUGUUCAUACUUUCCCAGAUUAACCACCGAAACGUCGUCAAGCUACACGGAUGUUGCCUUGAGGUGGAGGUGCCAAUGCUGGUCUACGAGUACGUCUCCAACGGCACCCUCUACCACUACAUCCAUGGCGGCAAGGGCCUCGAAUCCAAUACCGCACUUGACACCUGUCUACGGAUAGCGGCAGAGUCGGCAGAGGCUUUAUCGUAUAUGCACUCAUCGGCCUCGCCCCCGAUCCUUCAUGGCGAUGUCAAGACGGCCAACAUCCUGCUUGACGGCAACCUCACCGCCAAAGUCGCAGACUUUGGGGCGUCGAAACUGGCGCCUAGUGACGAAGCCGAGAUUGCGACAUUGGUGCAAGGCACUUGCGGAUACCUGGACCCGGAGUACCUCAUGACAUGCCAACUGACUGACAAGAGUGACGUGUAUAGCUUUGGGGUCGUUCUGUUGGAGCUUCUGACAGGAAAGAAGGUGAUCUACUUCGAUGGGCCAGAGCAGGGCAAGAGCCUCGUGUCCCGAUUCACGACAGCCGUGAAAACCAACCGACACGACGAGGUCCUUGAUAGCCGGGCGAGGAAGGAGAUGGGCCCCAAGGCAUUGGAAGAAGUCACACAUCUUGUGAUGCGAUGCGUGAGCAUGAGUGGGGAGGACCGACCAGUAAUGAAGGAAGUUGCCGAGAGGCUAGAGGCGUUGAGGAGGUACCAGCAGAACCCAUGGGGUCAGGCUGGUGCCGGAGAUCCGGAGGAGGGGCAAAGCUUGCUUGGCAGGGAGCAACAAUGUGAUGUGACUUAUAAGUUUAUACCGCAAGAUGUGCUUGAUGCUGAAGAGGGCAGUACAUACACUUUUAGCUUGUAG